This 274-nucleotide ribosomal RNA is filed under the name uncultured bacterium. RNAcentral describes it as "partial 16S ribosomal RNA". It matches the Rfam family "Bacterial small subunit ribosomal RNA", at positions 523 to 796 of the family's 1533-position model. The record is from RNAcentral.
AUACGGAGGGUGCAAGCGUUAUUCGGAAUCACUGGGCGUAAAGGACGCGUAGGCGGGUUGGCAAGUCAGAUGUGAAAUCCUACAGCUUAACUGUAGAACUGCAUUUGAAACUGCUAACCUAGAGUAUGGGAGGGGGAGAUGGAAUUAGUGGUGUAGGGGUAAAAUCCGUAGAUAUCACUAGGAAUACCGAAAGCGAAGGCGAUCUCCUGGAACAUAACUGACGCUAAGGCGUGAAAGCGUGGGGAGCAGACAGGAUUAGAUACCCUAGUAGUCC